This 509-nucleotide ribosomal RNA is filed under the name Salmonella enterica. RNAcentral's name for it is "partial 23S ribosomal RNA". It matches the Rfam family "Bacterial large subunit ribosomal RNA", at positions 1134 to 1643 of the family's 2925-position model. RNAcentral also lists the same sequence under 4 other names. The record is from RNAcentral. Lineage: Bacteria; Pseudomonadati; Pseudomonadota; Gammaproteobacteria; Enterobacterales; Enterobacteriaceae.
GUAAUAGCUCACUGGUCGAGUCGGCCUGCGCGGAAGAUGUAACGGGGCUAAACCAUGCACCGAAGCUGCGGCAGCGACACUGUGUGUUGUUGGGUAGGGGAGCGUUCUGUAAGCCUGUGAAGGUGGCCUGUGAGGGUUGCUGGAGGUAUCAGAAGUGCGAAUGCUGACAUAAGUAACGAUAAAGCGGGUGAAAAGCCCGCUCGCCGGAAGACCAAGGGUUCCUGUCCAACGUUAAUCGGGGCAGGGUGAGUCGACCCCUAAGGCGAGGCCGAAAGGCGUAGUCGAUGGGAAACGGGUUAAUAUUCCCGUACUUGGUGUUACUGCGAAGGGGGGACGGAGAAGGCUAUGUUGGCCGGGCGACGGUUGUCCCGGUUUAAGCGUGUAGGUGUGUGUUCCAGGUAAAUCCGGUUCACUUUAACACUGAGGCGUGAUGACGAGGCACUACGGUGCUGAAGCAACAAAUGCCCUGCUUCCAGGAAAAGCCUCUAAGCAUCAGGUAACAUCAAAUC